RNAcentral lists this unclassified non-coding RNA (212 nucleotides) under plant metagenome. RNAcentral describes it as "partial contains small subunit ribosomal RNA, internal transcribed spacer 1, and 5.8S ribosomal RNA". The record is from RNAcentral.
UUUCCGUAGGUGAACCUGCGGAAGGAUCAUUAAAAAUGAAGCCGGGAAACCGGUCCUUCUAACCCUUGAUUAUCUCAAUUUGUUGCUUUGGUGGGCCGCGCAAGCACCGGCUUCGGCUGGAUCGUGCCCGCCAGAGGACACAACUCUGUAUCAAAUGUCGUCUGAGUACUAUAAAAUAGUUAAAACUUUCAACAACGGAUCUCUUGGUUCUG